This 647-nucleotide ribosomal RNA is filed under the name Choerophryne sp. SJR3266. RNAcentral describes it as "partial 16S ribosomal RNA". Lineage: Eukaryota; Metazoa; Chordata; Amphibia; Anura; Microhylidae. The record is from RNAcentral.
CCUUUUGCAUCAUGGUCUAACUAGUCCUCUUAAGCAAAAUGAACUUUAAGUUUAACACCCCGAAACUAAACGAGCUACUUCAAAACAGCCUCAUGGGCCAACCCGUCUCUGUUGCAAAAGAGUGGGAAGAUUUUCAAGUAGAAGUGAUAUACCUACCGUGUCUAGAGAUAGCUGGUUACUCAGGAAAAGGAUAUUAGUCCAAUUUUAAACCUCCCACAUAACAUUAAGUACUACCAUAGGUUUAAUAUUUAUUCAAAUAAGGUACAGCCUAUUUGAAAUAGGGCACAGCCUAAAAUAUAGGGUAAUGUUUUUGCAUGUGACUAAGUAGGCCUAAGAGCAGCCACCUUCCCAAAAGCGUCACAGCUUCACCACAUAGUAUUUUAAUCCCAACCAAAACCCAGAACCCCUCACCCCUACCGAGUGACUCUAUACUUAUAUAGAAAACCCCAUGUUAGAACUAGUAAUAAGAAAUUAUUCUCUAUAAACGCAAGUGUAAGCCGGAAUGAAAAUUUCACCGACACUUACCGCUAAUGAACCCACAGUAAUAACAAUACAAGAAAAUCCUACUUAAUAUCGCGUUAACCUUACACCAGACUUUUACCAGAAAGAUUAAAAAAACAGGAAGGAACUCGGCAAAUAAUAACUCC